CAAUAGCGUAUAUUAACGUUGUUGCAGUUAAAAAGCUCGUAGUUGGAUCUCUGGAGGGAGCGUCGGCCCGUAUUUACGAGUGCGUGACGUCUCUGUCCAUCCUUGCGGGAAGGCACGGCAUUGAUUUGUUGUGUCGGAUCGCAUCAUUUACUGUGAAAAAAUUAGAGUGUUCAAAGCAGGCUUUCGCUUGAAUACAUUAGCAUGGAAUAAUAAGAUAAGACUUUGGUGCUAUUUUGUUGGUUGAGCCUAAAGUAAUGAUUAAUAGGGAUAGUUGGGGGCACCUGUAUUGCGUUGUCAGAGGUGAAAUUCUUGGAUUUACGCAAGACAAACAGCUGCGAAAGCGUCUGCCAAGGAUGUUUUCAUUAA
This 366-nucleotide ribosomal RNA is filed under the name uncultured eukaryote. Its description in RNAcentral is "partial 18S ribosomal RNA". It matches the Rfam family "Eukaryotic small subunit ribosomal RNA", at positions 592 to 976 of the family's 1831-position model. The record is from RNAcentral.